AAAAGUCGUAACAAGGUUUCCGUAGGUGAACCUGCGGAAGGAUCAUUAUCGUACAACCGAGGUGCCAAGGGCUGUCGCUGACCCUCAAAGGUUGUGACGCCCAAAGCGCUCUCACACAUCCAUCUCACCCCUUUUGUGCAUCACCGCGUGGGCCCCCCUUUGCAGGAGGGCUUGCGUUUUCACACAAAACUUGAUACAGUGUAGAAUGUUUUUCUCUUGCAGUCACAUGCAAUCAAUACAACUUUCAACAACGGAUCUCUUGGCUCUCGCAUCGAUGAAGAACGCAGCGAAAUGCGAUACGUAAUGUGAAUUGCAGAAUUCAGUGAAUCAUCGAAUCUUUGAACGCACCUUGCGCCCCUUGGCAUUCCGAGGGGCACACCCGUUUGAGUGUCGUGAAAUCAUCAAAACCCUUUUCUUUGAUCCCUAUUGUGGUCAGGAAAAGGAUUUUUGGACUUGGAGGUUUCAUGCUUGCUUUUGCUUUCAAAAGUGAGCUCCUCUCAAAUGAAUUAGUGGGGUCUGCUUUGCUGGUCCUUGACGUGAUAAGAUGUUUCUACGUUUUGGAUUUGGCACUGUCCCUUGGAUGCCUGCUUUUAACUGUCUCUCGUGACAAUGAUGGUGCUUCGGUCACCGGCCAAUCUACAUUGGCGGGGAGGCUGGGCCACACAAAGAAAGACCUUGACCUCAAGUCGGGUGAGACUACCCGCUGAACUUAAGCAUAU
This 719-nucleotide ribosomal RNA is filed under the name Russula amethystina. RNAcentral describes it as "eukaryotic LSU rRNA". The stretch from base 240 to 393 matches the Rfam family "5.8S ribosomal RNA". Lineage: Eukaryota; Fungi; Basidiomycota; Agaricomycetes; Russulales; Russulaceae. The record is from RNAcentral.